GACUGUAUUACUCUCUUUCUUCAAAACUUCCCCUCCACGCCAAUGGCACCGCCGACUGCUAACCACGCCAAGCAGCCACGGAAGCCUCCAAUGGGUAGAAAACGCCUUUCUCUGUCUAGUCUGUCGCCCUGCGGUCUCGCGCUCUGCUGAUCCUCUCCCUGGCUCCACUAUGCUUCUUCAUAGCCGAUGAGCUGGGGGAAGCGGCUGCCUACUCUGCCGCCGCCCCUUUCUCCACCUCUCUCUACGGCUGUUCUUCCGUUCCCGCAGAUUUCGCCGCUAACGCGCUUUCUCUCGGUUCCGUGGCCGCGGGGGAAGAAGAUGGGUCAACCAGCGUCGCGGACCACCCACCUGGGCUAGACCGCGUCCUACCUCUCCCUCUACCUGCCUCCUCCGUACAUCUCCCGAGCCAAAACAGGGAGAUCCCGGCAGAAGCGCCUCCCGAUGGACACGACGGUGCGCGAAGGAGGAGCUCCGGCGAGCCCGGAUCCAGAAUCCGGGGGCGGAAACGCGAAUGAGCAGCGCCCGGUGAGGCCGUGAAACCGUGGGGCCGGUCGGCGGAAAAAUGCCACCCCGAGAGACGGGAGCGGGCGGUGCCCUCGGGGGAAGGACUCGCCGGAGACGGCCCUAGGGUUCCGGCGGGGCCGAGAUUUGGAGAGGAGAAAGAGGGGAGGGUGGGGGGAGAGGGGCAGGGGCCUGGUCGCCGGCGC
Molecule: long non-coding RNA, 707 nt
Filed under: Spirodela polyrhiza (greater duckweed)
Lineage: Eukaryota; Viridiplantae; Streptophyta; Magnoliopsida; Alismatales; Araceae
Description: long non-coding RNA (SPOL_LNC000992)
Source: RNAcentral